GGGCGGAUAGCUCAGCCUGGUGAGAGCGCCUGCCUUACAAGCAGGAGGUCGGUGGUUCGAAUCCACUUCCGCCCA
Molecule: transfer RNA, 75 nt
Filed under: bacterium
Lineage: Bacteria
Also listed under: 1 other name
Description: tRNA-Val
Rfam family: tRNA
About the family: Transfer RNA (tRNA) molecules are approximately 80 nucleotides in length. Their secondary structure includes four short double-helical elements and three loops (D, anti-codon, and T loops). Further hydrogen bonds mediate the characteristic L-shaped molecular structure. tRNAs have two regions of fundamental functional importance: the anti-codon, which is responsible for specific mRNA codon recognition, and the 3' end, to which the tRNAs corresponding amino acid is attached (by aminoacyl-tRNA synthetases). tRNAs cope with the degeneracy of the genetic code in two manners: having more than one tRNA (with a specific anti-codon) for a particular amino acid; and 'wobble' base-pairing, i.e. permitting non-standard base-pairing at the 3rd anti-codon position.
Source: RNAcentral